UACGUAGGCUGCAAGCGUUAUCCGGAAUUACUGGGCGUAAAGCGUGCGCAGGCGGUUUGUUAAGUCCGUUGUGAAAGCCCCGAGCUCAACUUGGGAAUUGCAGUGGAUACUGGCAGGCUGGAGUACGGUAGAGGAAGGUGGAAUUCCCGGUGUAGCAGUGAAAUGCGUAGAUAUCGGGAGGAACACCAGUGGCGAAGGCGGCCUUCUGGACCAGUACUGACGCUCAUGCACGAAAGCGUGGGGAGCAAACAGG
This 253-nucleotide ribosomal RNA is filed under the name uncultured bacterium. Its description in RNAcentral is "partial 16S ribosomal RNA". It matches the Rfam family "Bacterial small subunit ribosomal RNA", at positions 524 to 776 of the family's 1533-position model. The record is from RNAcentral.